CAGGGCUACACACGUGCUACAAUGGCAUAUACAAAGAGAAGCGACCUCGCGAGAGCAAGCGGACCUCAUAAAGUAUGUCGUAGUCCGGAUUGGAGUCUGCAACUCGACUCCAUGAAGUCGGAAUCGCUAGUAAUCGUAGAUCAGAAUGCUACGGUGAAUACGUUCCCGGGCCUUGUACACACCGCCCGUCACACCAUGGGAGUGGGUUGCAAAAGAAGUAGGUAGCUUAACCUUCGGGAGGGCGCUUACCACUUUGUGAUUCAUGACUGGGGUGAAGUCGUAACAAGGUAACCGUAGGGGAACCUGCGGUUGGAUCACCUCCUUACCUUAAAGAA
This 335-nucleotide ribosomal RNA is filed under the name Klebsiella pneumoniae. Its description in RNAcentral is "bacterial SSU rRNA". It matches the Rfam family "Bacterial small subunit ribosomal RNA", at positions 1209 to 1533 of the family's 1533-position model. The record is from RNAcentral. Lineage: Bacteria; Pseudomonadati; Pseudomonadota; Gammaproteobacteria; Enterobacterales; Enterobacteriaceae.